AUUGAACGCUGGCGGCAUGCCUUACACAUGCAAGUCGAACGGCAGCACGGGUGCUUGCACCUGGUGGCGAGUGGCGAACGGGUGAGUAAUACAUCGGAACAUGUCCUGUAGUGGGGGAUAGCCCGGCGAAAGCCGGAUUAAUACCGCAUACGAUCUACGGAUGAAAGCGGGGGACCUUCGGGCCUCGCGCUAUAGGGUUGGCCGAUGGCUGAUUAGCUAGUUGGUGGGGUAAAGGCCUACCAAGGCGACGAUCAGUAGCUGGUCUGAGAGGACGACCAGCAACAAUGGGAAUGAGACACGGCCCAGACUCCUACGGGAGGCAGCAGUGGGGAAUUUUGGACAAUGGGAGAAAGCCUGAUCCAGAAAUGCCGCGUGUGUGAAGAAGGCCUUCGGGUUGUAAAGCACUUUUGUCCGGAAAGAAAUCCUUGGCCCUAAUACGGUCGGGGGAUGACGGUACCGGAAGAAUAAGCACCGGCUAACUACGUG
RNAcentral lists this ribosomal RNA (486 nucleotides) under uncultured bacterium. Its description in RNAcentral is "partial 16S ribosomal RNA". It matches the Rfam family "Bacterial small subunit ribosomal RNA", at positions 30 to 507 of the family's 1533-position model. The record is from RNAcentral.